Molecule: ribosomal RNA, 253 nt
Filed under: uncultured bacterium
Lineage: Bacteria
Description: partial 16S ribosomal RNA
Rfam family: Bacterial small subunit ribosomal RNA
Source: RNAcentral
UACGUAGGGGGCAAGCGUUGUCCGGAAUCAUUGGGCGUAAAGCGCGUGUAGGCGGCUCGGUAAGUCUGCUGUGAAAGUCCAGGGCUCAACCCUGGGAUGCCGGUGGAUACUGUCGAGCUCGAGUCCGGAAGAGGCGAGUGGAAUUCCUGGUGUAGCGGUGAAAUGCGCAGAUAUCAGGAGGAACACCAAUGGCGAAGGCAGCUCGCUGGGACGUGACUGACGCUGAGGCACGAAAGCCAGGGGAGCGAACGGG